CGCGGUCAUAAUUAGUUGCUCCAAGAACUCGUUCGUUACCCCCCUAAUCCCUACACCGCCUCAUCCUCUGUAGAUCGCCUUGAACCUCGGUGGCUGGUGGCUAGCGGCACAGUGAUCACUGAUCUGAUGUUAAUUGACGGCCGAAUGAUAGAUGGAAAGAAGAUAUUGCUGAAAAAUAUCGAAUGCAUAUGACAAUAAGCCAGGCAGUGACUCUGGCAAACUCACGAAGAGCAUGGAAUAUGAAACAUUUGGGUUGGGUACCUGCUCCAUCUGUCUCACCUGAACAUCAUAGUUAUGUCUCAAGUCAUCAUGUGUUGAAGCAUCAUAGACAUUUGCCUUCUGCUCGCACACCAACCCCAAUUACUCCACCACAAACACAGGGUUCUAAAUCUUGGUUUCACUGACCUGGUUUGGCUCAUUUUUUUUGGCCAAAACUAAGAAUUUAGCUGACUUUGUCGGUGAUGAUCAUUAUUGCUUAAUGUCGAUCACCAUGAUUAACUUUUGUUCACAUGACUUGUUGAUCUAUUUAUUUCUUCCUCUUGAACUUGAAACAGGUUGUGAAAUAUCCUGUUCUGAUCCACUCACUUCAACCCCAAUUGGUUCACCCUGUGGAUGUGUAUACCCUGUGCAAGUUGGAAUUGAUCUUGGUGUAGCACCCACCAUAUAAGUGAUUCUCUAGAAUUGCUGAGCUUGAAGUUGACGUUGUGUCUGCCACAUUUCUGAAACAAAGUCAAGCGAGAAUAAUGGGUGCCAGUGCUAGCAUGAAGGACAACAGUUAUUGUUGACUUGGUGCCUCCAGGUGAGAAAUUCGAUAACAUGAUUGCACUUCUGACUUACGAAACAUUUUGUCCAAAGAAGGUGCCGAUCAACAUGUCGCUUUUUGGUGAUUAUGAUGUGUUGUACGUUCGUCAUUCCUGGUAAUAUCGUAUUACCUACCUCUUUUGCUUAAGUUCGUCAUAUUAACAUGCUUAUACUUUUGCUUAGAAUCCAGGGACAACAAACAGUACUUCCUUCGCCACUGCCUUCAUUUGAUGAAAUCAUUGGGUCCAAGUGGGAUUGGGAGUCAUCACUAUCCUCUCACAGCAAAUAUUUCAAAUCACAAGUCACAGAAUCUACUCCUUUUCGUAUUAUCACUCGACCACCUCCUUUUAUAUAUCAUAGACUUUUUAUAUUUUCACUGGACCACUUUUUAUAUAUCAGACUGUCAUUCUAUCCUCCUGAUUAUAUUAUCACUAGACCAUACAAGAAUCUACUCCAUAUG
Musa acuminata AAA Group (dessert banana) is the source of this 1261-nucleotide long non-coding RNA. RefSeq lists it as uncharacterized. The transcript has 4 exons. The record is from RefSeq and is a predicted model, not a curated record. NCBI's taxonomy places the organism in Eukaryota, Viridiplantae, Streptophyta, Magnoliopsida, Zingiberales, Musaceae.